RNAcentral lists this ribosomal RNA (463 nucleotides) under uncultured bacterium. Its description in RNAcentral is "partial 16S ribosomal RNA". It matches the Rfam family "Bacterial small subunit ribosomal RNA", at positions 28 to 507 of the family's 1533-position model. The record is from RNAcentral.
GACGAACGCUGGCGGCGUGCUUAACACAUGCAAGUCGAGCGGAAAGGCCACUUCGGUGGUACUCGAGCGGCGAACGGGUGAGUAACACGUGAGUAAUCUGCCCCUCACUUUGGGAUAGCCACCGGAAACGGUGAUUAAUACCGGAUAUGACCAUAUGUCGCAUGGCGUGUGGUGGAAAGUUUUUCGGUGAGGGAUGUGCUCGCGGCCUAUCAGCUUGAUGGUGAGGUAAUGGCUCACCAUGGCUUCGACGGGUAGCCGGCCUGAGAGGGUGACCGGUCACACUGGGACUGAGACACGGCCCAGACUCCUACGGGAGGCAGCAGUGGGGAAUAUUGGACAAUGGGCGGAAGCCUGAUCCAGCAACGCCGCGUGAGGGAUGACAGCCUUCGGGUUGUAAACCUCUUUCAGUACCGACGAAGCGCAAGUGACGGUAGGUACAGAAGAAGCACCGGCCAACUACGUG